Sciurus carolinensis (gray squirrel) is the source of this 382-nucleotide long non-coding RNA. RefSeq lists it as uncharacterized. Lineage: Eukaryota; Metazoa; Chordata; Mammalia; Rodentia; Sciuridae. The record is from RefSeq and is a predicted model, not a curated record. The transcript has 4 exons.
GGGGUGAAACAACUGCCUUAUUUGCCACAGCAUCCUCUGACACAUUUAUGUGCUUAAGAUGUGGAUUCCAAGAAGUUUGCUUCAAAGACCAGUGUGGAUCCUUGAUGAGGAGGUGACCCAAGCUAAAAGUCAGCUGACUUCUCUGCAGCAAUUCCAGUGGUUACAUAUUUCCUAUCCAGAUGCCUGAGGUGGAGAAAGAGAGGAAGCUGAACCGACACCAAGCAAAAGAAGCCUGUUGUUUGGACUACUUUCUAGACUUGGCUAUUCUGGAGGUUGAUGUCACCAACACUCAGAUAUCCAGGAAGAAGUCACCUGUUGGAUUUAAGAAAACUCAAAUUUCCAGAUGUCCUUUCAAAAUACAUAUCCGGCCAUCUCAUUGUCC